Molecule: ribosomal RNA, 442 nt
Filed under: uncultured bacterium
Lineage: Bacteria
Description: partial 16S ribosomal RNA
Rfam family: Bacterial small subunit ribosomal RNA
Source: RNAcentral
CCUACGGGAGGCAGCAGUGGGGAAUAUUGGGCAAUGGGCGAAAGCCUGACCCAGCAACGCCGCGUGAAGGAAGAAGGCUUUCGGGUUGUAAACUUCUUUUGACAGGGAAGAGCAGAAGACGGUACCUGUCGAAUAAGCCACGGCUAACUACGUGCCAGCAGCCGCGGUAAUACGUAGGUGGCAAGCGUUGUCCGGAUUUACUGGGUGUAAAGGGCGUGUAGCCGGGCUGACAAGUCAGAUGUGAAUUCCGGGGGCUAAACGGCCGAACUGAAUUUGAAACUGUUGGUCUUGAGUAUCGGAGAGGCAGGAGGAAUUCCUAGUGUAGCGGUGAAAUGCGUAGAUAUUAGGAGGAACACCGAUUGCGAAGGCAGCCCACGAAACUGCCACUGACAUUGAUGCUCGAAAGUGUGGGUAUCAAACAGGAUUAGAUACCCCUGUAGUC